Molecule: ribosomal RNA, 440 nt
Filed under: uncultured bacterium
Lineage: Bacteria
Description: partial 16S ribosomal RNA
Rfam family: Bacterial small subunit ribosomal RNA
Source: RNAcentral
CCUACGGGAGGCAGCAGUGGGGAAUAUUGCACAAUGGGGGCAACCCUGAUGCAGCGACGCCGCGUGAGUGAAGAAGUAUUUCGGUACGUAAAGCUCUAUCAGCAGGGAAGAAAAUGACGGUACCUGACUAAGAAGCCCCGGCUAACUACGUGCCAGCAGCCGCGGUAAUACGUAGGGGGCAGGCGUUAGCCGGAUUUACUGGGUGGAAAGGGAGCGUAGACGGCGGCGCAAGUCUGGAGUGAAAUCCCAUGGCUUAACCAUGGACCUGCUUGGGAGACUGUGCAGCGAGAGUGCAGGAGAGGUGAGCGGAAUUCCUAGUGUAGCGGUGAAAUGCGUAGAUAUUAGGAGGAACACCAGUGGCGAAGGCGGCUUACUGGACUGUAACUGACGUUGAGGCUCGAAAGCGUGGGGAGCAAACAGGAUUAGAUACCCUAGUAGUC